CCCUUAGAUGUUCUGGGCUGCACGCGCGCUACACUGACACACGCAACGAGUCUCCUGCCCUGACAGGGUCGGGUAAUCAUUUGAGUGUGUGUCGUGACGGGGAUAGAGUAUUGCAAUUAUUGCUCUUGAACGAGGAAUUCCUAGUAAGCACAAGUCAGCAGCUUGUGCUGAUUACGUCCCUGCCCUUUGUACACACCGCCCGUCGCUCCUACCGAGGGGGUGAUCCGGUGAAUGAUUCGGACUCUGGUGCUUCUAGCUGCUAGAUGCGCCGGAGGAAGUUUUGUGAACCUUAUCACUUGGAGGAAGGAGAAGUCGUAACA
RNAcentral lists this ribosomal RNA (320 nucleotides) under uncultured eukaryote. RNAcentral's name for it is "partial 18S ribosomal RNA". It matches the Rfam family "Eukaryotic small subunit ribosomal RNA", at positions 1470 to 1796 of the family's 1831-position model. The record is from RNAcentral.